This is a long non-coding RNA of Equus caballus (horse), 2589 nucleotides long. The record is from Ensembl. NCBI's taxonomy places the organism in Eukaryota, Metazoa, Chordata, Mammalia, Perissodactyla, Equidae.
UUCCAUUCUAGCCAUCAACAAACAUAGAACACAUUAGGAGAUAUAGUCUUUCUUGUGUUUCCUGUACUUUAUUUCAUUCAGGAAGUAUUUGGGAACCUCUGAAAGUUACGUGAUUAGGGACAACUUGACCAAAGUUGGGCUUUAUUAAUAUUUUCCUCACUAUUGCACACAAUGUGGAUUCAAAGAAGGAAUUGAAAAAAGAUUUGGCACCAGAUUUGUAAUGCAGACCUACUGUAGGAAGACUCUAAGGUUUUGAGCCAGUCUGAACAGGACAGUACCUUCUGCCAAUGGAGAUUGUGGUGGAUGAUUCGUGGUAGGAUAGCCUCAGCCAAUAGGAAACGAAGAUUAACCAUAAAGGAUUCAAAGUAGAAGCAGGAGGUGACCUAGCCACACGGCAGCCCAUCCACAUGUUGGAAGAAAACCGAAGUAAAAAGAUAUUUCUCGGCUCAGGAUUCUUGGAAAAUCUCUAGAAACAGAAAGUAGAUUAACCUCAUAGUCUUGCUGGUUUAGCAGAAAUUUUCAGAAGUCAAAAGGAGUUAGAAAGUGAAUCUCUACCCCCAAAUUUAACAUAUUUGCCUGCACAUGUUCAUGCCCUCAUCAGUCAAAAGGGAUCAUUUUUAGUUCUUUACAUAUACAUUUGAUAAGUAAUAUAAAAUGCCUCUGCCUUCAAACUGUGACAUCACUGUCUGAUUUACCAAGGUUCAAGGAAAAGAAGAAGCCACUUAGAGGUGAAUAAAUCAGCCAAACUAAAUCUUUUAGUUUAAUCUGAUUCUGUUGCUGUCACAUAGACACGGCAGAAAUGAACUCUUCUAAAAAAGUAAAAAUGACAGUAAUUUUAAAAUGGUUUGUAAAACAAUGAUAAAACAUGUAGAAAGAAUCUCAGUCUGACUAAAUGGUAUUUUUAAAAAUUGAAGACAGUCUUUCUAUUUCUAUGAAUGAAUAACUGAUUGAUUGCAAAUGAUACAUUCCUGUUAUUAAUGAGACCUGACAAUUCCAUUAGACUAAUAUGCAACCACUGCACUUUAAUUUUCUUGAUGAGCUUAUCAUUCAUUUUUUUCAGAGCUGAGGAAUGCAGAAGGAAAGCAAGAGUAUUUAGAAGGUGAAAUGAAGGGACAAAUUGAAGGAGCAGAGGAUUUGUUCAUAUUUCUCUUCUAGAUCAAAAGAUAAAGACGAAUGUUAGGGCUUCUAACCCAGCAGGAGUUAUGCUGUCAAUUCUCAAAGUAAUGAGCCAGCUGAAAAGAGCAGCACUCAGUCCUCACCGUCUUGGUCCAGUCUUCUCCAUGUGAAGAGCUGUCUGGAUGUGAACACAUUCACGAGAUCAUCUUAGGGAACUCAAACCCAUCUUACAAUAUGAUCAUUCUUCAAUCAGCAAUGAUCUUUGUUACACAAAAAUAUAUCAAAUGUUAGUUUUAUUUCUGUUAAAACUCAUUAAUAUAAAGUAAAAUUUCAGAGUGCUUUUGUGAAACUGGGAAUCAGAAUGAGCCUUUCCUAAUAAGCUGGUCCUGGAACUCUGAAGUCAGAUAUUUGUGGUCAUAGCCUCUAUUGUUAUCUUGAAUUUUUGUUGUUGUUGUUGUAAACCUCUCAACUCUUCAAAGGACCUCUUUGUUAACAUUCCCAUUAUUCAGAAUUAGUUCCAUGCCUGAACUCCUGCUCCCUAGACGGCAAACACAACUCCAUGGUCAAUCCAUAGCUUCACUAAUGGCAACUCCAGUCACAUAACAGAUGGGAACACUAAUGAAUAAAAUGCCCUCUGUCAGAACAAACAUUAUCUAUCUAUAUCUACAUUUAUAUCUAUCUUCAUUUAUCUCUAUCUAUAUAAAAAUGUAAUCACAGAAACCGUGGUUCAUUUUCUGAUCCAGAAAUCAGCUCUAGUGGUUGCUGAUAUUCUUUUGAAGACCAUAGAAAUAAGCAUUUUAGAUCAGUAUUAUCAAAGAAAUUCCCAAAUGCAUGAUCAUUUUGAAGAGAAUACUCUGACACUUCUCAUAACUUCAUCUUAAUUCUCAAUAAAUCUCUCUUCAUCCUGUUAUUUUGUAGUCAAUAUUCUGUGUUCUAAUAUGUAGAGCUGGGAAUACAAGGAUAGUGGGUAUGGGAAACUGGAUAAUGUGAAAAAUACUAGUGGGGUAAAUUUACAUAUGGCAUGAAGAGAAUAUUUACCCAACAAAUUAACUGUUAAAAUUUAGCUUAAGUCAUGCCUAUAAGGUAUAUAAAUUCUUUAAUUUGCUGAAUUCUUCUUCUUUUGAUACUUUUUUCUGUAGGUCAUUUUAAACGUUUCUUGCUUUAUUCUCUCUCCACUAAUUAGUCGUUACAUUUUCAACAAUAUUUUGUAGGGUAACAAGUGAGUUACUUUUCGCAUUUGAAAUUUCAACAACCAGACCAAGAAAGCUCAAGCUACUUUCCUUUAAGUAGUUUCUGGCAAAGAAUUCUGACGUAGGUAACUUACUGUUUACAUGCUACAUCCUGCCGAGUUCUGGAUUUGGACUUGGAGAAUCUGUGAUAGAGAAAUUCUUAAAUGUUUAGCUCAGUUUGAACUAAUGUUUUUGUUUGGAAUUUGCACGUAAUUUUUUCCAAAUAAACUAUAUGAGAAAAUCG